RNAcentral lists this ribosomal RNA (581 nucleotides) under uncultured Terriglobales bacterium. RNAcentral's name for it is "bacterial SSU rRNA". It matches the Rfam family "Bacterial small subunit ribosomal RNA", at positions 324 to 916 of the family's 1533-position model. The record is from RNAcentral. Lineage: Bacteria; Pseudomonadati; Acidobacteriota; Terriglobia; Terriglobales.
AUCAGUCGACGAUUCCUACGGGAGGCAGCAGCAGGGAAUAUUGCACAAUGGGCGCAAGCCUGAUGCAGCGACGCCGCGUGAGGGAUGAAGGCUUUCGGGUUGUAAACCUCUUUCAGUGGGGAAGAAGCGCAAGUGACGGUACCCACACAAGAAGGCCCGGCCAACUACGUGCCAGCAGCCGCGGUAAUACGUAGGGGCCAAGCGUUAUCCGGAUUUAUUGGGCGUAAAGAGCACGUAGGUGGCAUGGUAAGUCAAAGGUGAAAGCCCUCGGCUCAACCGAGGAAUUGCCUUUGAAACUGCUUUGCUUGAGUCCGGGAGGGGGGAGCGGAAUUCCCAGUGUAGCGGUGAAAUGCGUAGAUACUGGGAGGAACACCGGUGGCGAAGGCGGCUCCCUGGACCGGUACUGACACUGAGGUGCGAAAGCGUGGGUAGCAAACAGGAUUAGAUACCCUGGUAGUCCACGCCGUAAACGAUGGGCACUAGGUGCAGCGGGUGUCGACCCCUGCUGUGCCGUAGUUAACGCAUUAAGUGCUCCGCCUGGGGAGUACGGUCGCAAGGUUGAAACUCAAAUGAAUUGACGG